This 275-nucleotide ribosomal RNA is filed under the name uncultured Rubrobacter sp. RNAcentral describes it as "partial 16S ribosomal RNA". It matches the Rfam family "Bacterial small subunit ribosomal RNA", at positions 338 to 606 of the family's 1533-position model. Lineage: Bacteria; Bacillati; Actinomycetota; Rubrobacteria; Rubrobacterales; Rubrobacteraceae. The record is from RNAcentral.
CCUACGGGUGGCUGCAGUCGGGAAUCUUGCGCAAUGGGCGAAAGCCUGACGCAGCAACACCGUGUGAGCGACGAAGGCCUUCGGGUCGUAAAGCUCUGUUGUUGGGGACGAAGGGCGAAGGGUUAAUAGCCCCUAGCUUGACGGUACCCUUCGAGGAAGCCCCGGCUAACUACGUGCCAGCAGCCGCGGUAAUACGUAGGGGGCGAGCGUUGUCCGGAAUUAUUGGGCGUAAAGAGCGUGUAGGCGGUUCGGUAAGUCUGCCGUGAAAACCCAGG